This 2328-nucleotide ribosomal RNA is filed under the name Salmonella enterica. RNAcentral's name for it is "partial 23S ribosomal RNA". It matches the Rfam family "Bacterial large subunit ribosomal RNA", at positions 711 to 2925 of the family's 2925-position model. Lineage: Bacteria; Pseudomonadati; Pseudomonadota; Gammaproteobacteria; Enterobacterales; Enterobacteriaceae. The record is from RNAcentral.
AGACCCGAAACCCGGUGAUCUAGCCAUGGGCAGGUUGAAGGUUGGGUAACACUAACUGGAGGACCGAACCGACUAAUGUUGAAAAAUUAGCGGAUGACCUGUGGCUGGGGGUGAAAGGCCAAUCAAACCGGGAGAUAGCUGGUUCUCCCCGAAAGCUAUUUAGGUAGCGCCUCGUGAAUUCAUCUCCGGGGGUAGAGCACUGUUUCGGCCAGGGGGCCAUCCCGGCUUACCAAUCCGAUGCAAACUGCGAAUACCGGAGAAUGUUAUCACGGGAGACACACGGCGGGUGCUAACGUCCGUCGUGAAGAGGGAAACAACCCAGACCGCCAGCUAAGGUCCCAAAGUCAUGGUUAAGUGGGAAACGAUGUGGGAAGGCCCAGACAGCCAGGAUGUUGGCUUAGAAGCAGCCAUCAUUUAAAGAAAGCGUAAUAGCUCACUGGUCGAGUCGGCCUGCGCGGAAGAUGUAACGGGGCUAAACCAUGCACCGAAGCUGCGGCAGCGAACGUAUCACCCAAGACAACUUUGCACAGUUGACGACUGACGGAGCGAAGCGACGUCAAAGCGUUUUACAACGUCGAGUUGGCUUAGGGAUACGUUCGUUGGGUAGGGGAGCGUUCUGUAAGCCGUUGAAGGUGUGUCGUGAGGCAUGCUGGAGGUAUCAGAAGUGCGAAUGCUGACAUAAGUAACGAUAAAGCGGGUGAAAAGCCCGCUCGCCGGAAGACCAAGGGUUCCUGUCCAACGUUAAUCGGGGCAGGGUGAGUCGACCCCUAAGGCGAGGCCGAAAGGCGUAGUCGAUGGGAAACGGGUUAAUAUUCCCGUACUUGGUGUUACUGCGAAGGGGGGACGGAGAAGGCUAUGUUGGCCGGGCGACGGUUGUCCCGGUUUAAGCGUGUAGGUGUGUGUUCCAGGUAAAUCCGGUUCACUUUAACACUGAGGCGUGAUGACGAGGCACUACGGUGCUGAAGCAACAAAUGCCCUGCUUCCAGGAAAAGCCUCUAAGCCUCAGGUAACAUCAAAUCGUACCCCAAACCGACACAGGUGGUCAGGUAGAGAAUACCAAGGCGCUUGAGAGAACUCGGGUGAAGGAACUAGGCAAAAUGGUGCCGUAACUUCGGGAGAAGGCACGCUGACACGUAGGUGAAGUGGUUUACCCAUGGAGCUGAAGUCAGUCGAAGAUACCAGCUGGCUGCAACUGUUUAUUAAAAACACAGCACUGUGCAAACACGAAAGUGGACGUAUACGGUGUGACGCCUGCCCGGUGCCGGAAGGUUAAUUGAUGGGGUCAGCGCAAGCGAAGCUCCUGAUCGAAGCCCCGGUAAACGGCGGCCGUAACUAUAACGGUCCUAAGGUAGCGAAAUUCCUUGUCGGGUAAGUUCCGACCUGCACGAAUGGCGUAAUGAUGGCCAGGCUGUCUCCACCCGGGACUCAGUGAAAUUGAACUCGCUGUGAAGAUGCAGUGUACCCGCGGCAAGACGGAAAGACCCCGUGAACCUUUACUAUAGCUUGACACUGAACACUGGUCCUUGAUGUGCAGGAUAGGUGGGAGGCUUUGAAGUGUGGACGCCAGUCUGCAUGGAGCCAUCCUUGAAAUACCACCCUUUAAUGGCUGGUGUUCUAACGUGGGCCCGUGAACCGGGUUGCGGACAGUGUCUGGUGGGUAGUUUGACUGGGGCGGUCUCCUCCUAAAGAGUAACGGAGGAGCACGAAGGUUGGCUAAUCCUGGUCGGACAUCAGGAGGUUAGUGCAAUGGCAUAAGCCAGCUUGACUGCGAGCGUGACGGCGCGAGCAGGUGCGAAAGCAGGUCAUAGUGAUCCGGUGGUUCUGAAUGGAAGGGCCAUCGCUCAACGGAUAAAAGGUACUCCGGGGAUAACAGGCUGAUACCGCCCAAGAGUUCAUAUCGACGGCGGUGUUUGGCACCUCGAUGUCGGCUCAUCACAUCCUGGGGCUGAAGUAGGUCCCAAGGGUAUGGCUGUUCGCCAUUUAAAGUGGUACGCGAGCUGGGUUUAGAACGUCGUGAGACAGUUCGGUCCCUAUCUGCCGUGGGCGCUGGAAGAUUGAGGGGGGCUGCUCCUAGUACGAGAGGACCGGAGUGGACGCAUCACUGGUGUUCGGGUUGUCAUGCCAAUGGCACUGCCCGGUAGCUACAUGCGGAAGAGAUAAGUGCUGAAAGCAUCUAAGCACGAAACUUGCCCCGAGAUGAAUCUUCCCUGAGCCUUUAAGGCUCCUGAAGGAACGUUGAAGACGACGACGUUGAUAGGCCGGGUGUGUAAGCGCAGCGAUGCGUUGAGCUAACCGGUACUAAUGAACCGUGAGGCUUAACCUUACAAC